GACAGAGGUGCCAAGCGUUAGGCGGAAUCACUGGGCUUAAAGCGUGUGUAGGCGGGAUGGUAAGUACCUUGUGAAAUCCCACAGCUUAACUGUGGAAAUGCUUGGUAUACUGCCGUUCUUGAGUCACCUAGGGGCAGCUGGAACAGAUGGUGGAGCGGUGAAAUGCAUAGAUAUCAUCUGGAACGCCAAUGGUGCAGACAAGCUGCUGGGGGUGUACUGACGCUGAGGCACGAAAGCCAGGGGAGCAAACGGG
RNAcentral lists this ribosomal RNA (253 nucleotides) under uncultured bacterium. RNAcentral's name for it is "partial 16S ribosomal RNA". It matches the Rfam family "Bacterial small subunit ribosomal RNA", at positions 524 to 776 of the family's 1533-position model. The record is from RNAcentral.